Molecule: ribosomal RNA, 468 nt
Filed under: uncultured bacterium
Lineage: Bacteria
Description: partial 16S ribosomal RNA
Rfam family: Bacterial small subunit ribosomal RNA
Source: RNAcentral
GACGAACGCUGGCGGCGUGCUUAACACAUGCAAGUCGAACGGAAAGGCCCUGCUUUUGUGGGGUGCUCGAGUGGCGAACGGGUGAGUAACACGUGAGUAACCUGCCCUUGACUUUGGGAUAACUUCAGGAAACUGGGGCUAAUACCGGAUAGGAGCUCCUGCUGCAUGGUGGGGGUUGGAAAGUUUCGGCGGUUGGGGAUGGACUCGCGGCUUAUCAGCUUGUUGGUGGGGUAGUGGCUUACCAAGGCUUUGACGGGUAGCCGGCCUGAGAGGGUGACCGGCGACAUUGGGACUGCGGUACGGCGCAGACUCCUACGGGAGGCAGCAGUGGGGAAUAUUGCACAAUGGGCGGAAGCCUGAUGCAGCAACGCCGCGUGCGGGAUGACGGCCUACGGGUUGUAAACCGCUUUCGCCUGUGACGAAGCGUGAGUGACGGUAAUGGGUAAAGAAGCACCGGCUAACUACGUG